UCCUGAAACUAUUAUUCCUUCAAGAGCUCAAAGUCAAAGUACUGAAAAUCCUAUCUAACAUCUCACACACUUAAAUGUCGACAUUCAAAAGCUGUCGUCAGUGAUUCCUUCUCCUCCAUAGUUUUCAUGACAAGGCUCCAACAAAUGGAAAAUUGUAGCAAUCACCCGAGUUAACAUGAACUUGAGUUUCCCCGUUCUUAAUUUUGCUGCAAAACCACAUGAAACAAUUGUGCCAUUUUGAAUUUCGUGUAAUUGGACUUUUAAUGACAAGCUAGGUACAUGAUUACUGCAUAGCAUCUUCUCGUGCCUUAAAGCGAUACUUUUAUAUUCUUAGGACAUCAAGUCUUUCCACCACAGCAAAAAGAAAACAGUUUUAAAGAUUUUGAUCUUGUCCAUAUGCAUUAGUUGCUUAACCCACUAGUGUAUAGAUGGUUACGAUUCGCUUGUGCUGGUACUGGAAUCAAACUAACAUCAAAAGUGCACAGAGUUCACCAGACUUGUUGGUAACUUUCCUUGAGGUAUUAUGGGUUAUGGAGCAAGAGUGGGUAUAUGGAGUCCGGCCACACAUCAAACCUGAUCACUGAAUGACACUGGAGAAGCUAAACGACCUGCUCCUGACCCUAUGUCU
Stegostoma tigrinum is the source of this 628-nucleotide long non-coding RNA. RefSeq lists it as uncharacterized. Lineage: Eukaryota; Metazoa; Chordata; Chondrichthyes; Orectolobiformes; Stegostomatidae. The transcript has 3 exons. The record is from RefSeq and is a predicted model, not a curated record.